CCUACGGGGGGCAGCAGUGGGGAAUAUUGCACAAUGGGGGAAACCCUGAUGCAGCGACGCCGCGUGAAGGAAGAAGUAUUUCGGUAUGUAAACUUCUAUCAGCAAGGAAGAUAAUGACGGUACUUGACUAAGAAGCCCCGGCUAACUACGUGCCAGCAGCCGCGGUAAUACGUAGGGGGCAAGCGUUAUCCGGAUUUACUGGGUGUAAAGGGAGCGUAGGUGGCAUGGCAAGUCAGAUGUGAAAGCCCGGGGCUCAACCCCGGGACUGCAUUUGAAACUGCCAGGCUGGAGUGCAGGAGAGGUAAGUGGAAUUCCUAGUGUAGCGGUGAAAUGCGUAGAUAUUAGGAGGAACACCAGUGGCGAAGGCGGCUUACUGGACUGUAACUGACACUGAGGCUCGAAAGCGUGGGGAGCAAACAGGAUUAGAUACCCGUGUAGUC
This 440-nucleotide ribosomal RNA is filed under the name uncultured Lachnospiraceae bacterium. RNAcentral's name for it is "bacterial SSU rRNA". It matches the Rfam family "Bacterial small subunit ribosomal RNA", at positions 338 to 795 of the family's 1533-position model. Lineage: Bacteria; Bacillati; Bacillota; Clostridia; Lachnospirales; Lachnospiraceae. The record is from RNAcentral.